This 6013-nucleotide long non-coding RNA is filed under the name Sus scrofa (pig). RNAcentral describes it as "lncRNA (ENSSSCG00045021487.1)". Lineage: Eukaryota; Metazoa; Chordata; Mammalia; Artiodactyla; Suidae. The record is from RNAcentral.
UUUUUGCCUUUUGUCUUUUGAGGGCCGCACCCUUGGCAUACGGAGGUUCCCAGGCUAGGGACUGAAUCAGAGCUACAGCUGCCAACCUACACCAGAGCCACAGCAAUGCCAGACCUGAGCCGCAUCUGUGACCUACAGCACAGCUCAUGGCAACCCCAGAUCCUUAACCCACUGAGCGAGGCUGGGGAUUGAACCCACAACCUCAUGAUUCCUAGUCGGAUUCGUUUCCUCUGUGCCACGACGGGAACUCCCCCCAAGUGCUUCUUAGCCUUUCUUACUCCAAGCUCCCAUGACUUCCUUUGCCUCUCUGCUCCAUCUAACACCUUCUCAUGCCGGCAAGAUGCUCUUCCUAAAACACUGUUUUCAUCGUGUCGUUCUCCCUAUUCACUGUCACUGGAUCCUCCUUGUUAGAACGUGAGAACUCCUCGGCACAGCAUUUGAUACACCUGGCAAGCAGAGUCCAACCCAGACACACAAAAGGAGUCUUGUGCCUGGGGGCUGCAUCCACUGAGAGCUGGUCUUGGUGCAAAUUAGACAAAAGAUCUUAAGCAUUUGCUAGGGAUUUUCUCUUUGAAGACGUCCAUGUGCCAUGUGUCCAGAGAGAAGAUGGAUCACCAGACUGCCUUUAGGAUCUAUUCUAUUUUCAAGAGUUUUGGGCUCCACAGGACAGAGCUUCCCUGUACCAUUUCUCUUCCCAAACAUCUGGAGAAUAACCCCCAACACUGUAUGAUUUCUCCUCCUGGUCUGGAUGAGUCUAACUUAUACACGAGCUGAAAGCCUUAUGACCACAGCUAAUUGCCUCCUGGCAGGGCUUCCUCUCUUCUUGCCAUCCUGCAGGUGGCCACCAGAGGGCGACCUCCACCCAUAAGGCAAAUCUGUCACUUCCUUGCUUUAAGCCCUCACCUGGCCGCCCCAGCUCCUCCCCACAGUAUGGAUGCAACCCAGAAUUGCUUGUUCUUGCAAAGCAGGCUGUUUCUGGUAGCUCUGGGCUUUGUUCGGGCUUCCCCUCCCCCGAGGGGAACCCAGUCCUUCAAAAUUUGGAGGAGAAUUUUUAAAGCUCAGUUCUGGUCUCAUUUCCAGGACAUCUCCCUUGGCUGCCCACCUGCCAGGCUGGUCCAGGGCAUCCCCUCCUCUGCAGCCUUCUAGUGCUUCCUAAAGAUCCAGCACAAUCCUUUGUGUCACUUUAAAACAUCAGUUUAAGAGUUCCCUUGGUGGCUCAGACAUUAACGAACUCGACUGGGAGCCAUGAGGACACUGGUUCGAUCCCUGGUCUCAGAAAGUGGGUUAAGGAUCUGGUAUUGCUGUGGUUGUGGUGUAGGCCGGCCGCUACAGCUCCCAUUUGACCCUUAGCCUGGGAACCUCUAUAUGCCAUGGGUGUGGCCCUAAAAAGAAAAAAAAAUAAUAAUAAAAAAAUAAAAAUAAAAGAGAGAGAGAGAGAGAGUUGCAGGGGACACCUAUAGAGUAAAAGAAACCUAAGAAAUAGAUAUCAUCUGUAUCAGUUAUGGAUUAUGGCAUCGCCAAUUACUUCAAAACCUACCAGCUUAAAAGAACAAAGAGUUUCUGAGGGAGGAGCUUUAGCUGGGAGAUUCUGGCCUAAGGUUAUCAGGUUAGAGACAAGCUGCUAACAGUUCCUAAUGGUUGGGUUGAAACUCCAAUUUUUUGUGAAGUGGGCUGCUCUACAAAGUUACCUGAGUUUCCCUAGACAAGGUAGCUGGCUUCCCCCAGAGUGAGGGAGCCUAGAGAGACAGACAGAGGAAUGAGUGUGUUUAAGUCUACCUGGGUACGUGUUUUAGUCUACUGAACACAGGCUGCCAUAACAAAGUACUAUGGACUGCGUGGCUUAAACAUUUAUUCAUUUUCUCACAGCUCUGGAGGCCAGAAGUCCAUGAUCAAGGUGCUGGCAGAUUUAGUUUCUGGCAAGAGCUCUCUUUCUGGCUUGUAGACAGCUGCCUUCUCUCUGCCUCCCCAACCUGGCAUUCGCCUUUCCUCCAUGAGCAUGGACAGUCCUGUGUAUCUCUUCCUCUUAUAAUUGGAUUAGAGUCCCACCUUUAUAAACUCAUUUUGAAACUGACAGCAUUUAUGAUGUGCACUUAGCCAGGACCCAGCCUGGGAGUCAAACCCAUCGUUCUGAUGGCCUCUUGAGCAAGUAUUGCCUCUCUUGAGCCAUUAUUAAUUUACAGUGGUCUCCCAAAGUUCCCUAGGCUUCCCUCUCUACCGAUGCUCCCUUAUUGGGACUUCUACAACUCCCUGUGUAACUAUCCUACCCCAUCCCUAUCAAUUUAACCUUGUCUUCCUAAAGGCCUUGUCAUCUUGGGGGUUUGGGCUUCAACAUAUGAGUUGGAGGGAAGGAAGAAUUUCGUUUAUAUCAAUGUGAUAAUAAUAUUAAAAUCAUUACUGAAAUACAAGUGAAAUGAUAUCUAAAAUUUGCUUCAAUGGAGUUCUGUUGUGGCUCAGUGGUAACCUACCCAACUAGUAUCCAUGAUGAUGUGGGUUCAAUCCCUGGCCUCGCUCAGUGGGCUAAGGAUCCAGCAUUGCCACAAGCUGUGGUGUAGGCCGAAGUCAUGGCUCCAAUCUGGCAUUGCUGUGGUUGUGGCAUUUGGCCAGUGGCGAAAGCUCUGAUUCCACUCCUAGCCUGGGAACUUCUAUAUGCCGCAGGUGUGGCUCUAAAAAGACAAAAAUAAAAACAAAAUAUCAGGUAAGGUGGGAAGGGAAGUAGCUUGUGGUACAGAACAGUUUUAGUUGUGAGUUGAUAAUUGUUGAAGAUGAUGAUAGACUAAUGGGGCUUUAUCAUGCUACUCCUUUCUUUUUAUGUAUGUCACAUACUCUCCACAAUAAAAGUGGGAUUUGUUUGUUCGUUUGCUUUUAAUGACCAACUAGACUGAGACCCUUGAGAGCAGAAGUGAAAUUAACCAAGGCCAUAGAGGAUGACACCAAAGCUUGCUGAAUAAAUGAUGGCCAUCAUAGCCAGUGUUGGUUUAUGUACUUUUUUUUUUUUUAAACUUUUUAGGGCGGCGCUCUCGGCAUAUGAAGAUUCCCAGGCUAGGGGCUGAAUUGGAGCUGUAGCCGCCAGUCUACACCACAGCAACAGCAAUACCAGAUCCAAGCCGAGUCUGUGACCUACACCACAGCUCACGGCAACACUAGAUCCUUAACCCACUGGAGCGAGGCCAGGGAUCAAACCUGAGUCCUCAUGGAUACUAGUCAGAUUCGUUUCCAUUGAGCCAUGACAGGAACUCCCAAAUUCCAGGUAUUUUUAAACAUAGUAGUCACACCUAACCAUGAUGCUAGGUUGUGAAUUGGUUUGGGAUUAGGAUACCAGGAGAGAGGUUUUGCCUCUCCCUAACUGGGUGACUUUUGAUAAAUAAUCAAUCUGGUCUCAGUUUCCCCAACUACAGAAAUAGACUGAAGUCAUUCAUUUACUUAUUAAGCCCCUACUAUGUGCCAGAGAUCUGAACUAAGCACCUACUGUGUGCCAAAAAGGCCUGAACUGAGUAUAAAGAAAACUGUGAUGUCAACCCUGUCCUCAAAGAUGUCAUGGUCAAACUCAAUGGCUUUCUAUCUUUCCAUCCCCUGAUUUGCGAUGUUCCUAGUCUGAUGGUCCUGAUGAAAUAAAUAGUAAGCAAGAGAGCCUUCUGGUUAUGUCUGAAUUCCAGCGGAUAAGGUGUACGGCACCCCAUUUAAGAGUUGUUGCUUCCAUUGCCUAGAUCUUUAAAAGUCUACUCUUAAUUGAAUUUUUUUUUGCUAUUUUUUUUGCUGGACACUUUACGUAAUUCUCUUAUUCAAUCCUUACUAGAUGUUAUGGCUUCUUUACAGAUGAGGAAACCAUGAGGUGGUGGCCCAUCUGACCUGUCUUGGCUUCGCUCUGCUCCUUUCAGCCUCGCGGCUUCUGCCUAUUGGGGUCUCUUCUCUUACCUCUCUGUCUGCCCUCUUGACUUUAGCUCCCCCAAACACUGAUGUUUGCACACUGAUCUGAACCGUCAGAUUUGGGGGAGCCACCUGAGCCGCGUGUCCCUUCUUUCCCUUUCCCCGCCAAAGAAUGGGUUCCUUCACAGGCUUCAGAGCCUUUCUCUGUCCCUCCCCAGCCUGGGAGUGUGCUCUGCCCUUUCUGGCUUCUCCCUUCUGCCCCCUCGUGGACGGAAGCUGGCAGGAGUGUGUGCAACGCCCAGCACCCGACCCGGAGCACAGUUGCCCAAAACGCAUUUCUUUUCUUCACCCAGUGCUUUCUCAGGCCCUCAGGGUUUGCCCUGUGCUCCUCUCCUCACCGCCCUUUCAGCCUCAUGUGCCCAGACCCUCUCUUAGUUCCCUGCUGCCCGUUUGUCUGCCCCUCCAUUCCCCUCCCCCUUCCUCAUGACCUCUUCAUCACCCAACCUUGUGUGUAACAAGGGGAAAGACCCCCUAAAGGAAGUAGAUUGAUAAAGCCUCACCCUCAUUUGGUCCCCGAUUACGCUCGGGCGAUGCACCUCUCUGAGGCUGCCUCCUCUCAGGAGUCUCUUCCAACUCCACGUUGGUGCUAUUUUGUAGGUUCCCUCCCCUGUGCUCCCAACCCGGGCCCGAACCCGGCCUGUGACCCAGAGGGUUCUGGGUGGACAGCUUGGUGUGGUGGAGGGCAGGUCCCUCCGCCUGGUGCAAGGCUGUCCCCGGGUUCUAACCAGGCUGCCUUCUAGCAAAACUGGAACCCCCACCUCCAGAUAUUUCCGGACACCCCUCCCGUCCUCUCUAGUUCCUUUAUGCUUUUUGUGGACUCUGACGUCUUCUAUUUAAAUGCAAGUAGUAGCAGCUGCACUGGCACAGUGAUGUCUCCUACACGGGAUCCUCACAUCUCACAGAGGGAGGACGCCGAGGCUCAGAAAGACCCAAGUAACUUCCAAGUUGCUCGCAGUAACUGGGAGCCCAGCAGGGACUAGAACCCAGGUGUCCGGAGCCCAGAGCCUGCCCCGGAACCUCACCGUGUGAGACAGUGGUAGCAGGGACUUCUUGCUGGACAAUGGAUAGGUGACAGGGGUUCGGUGACAGUGAGCACAGGGUUCGCUGGGGAUGGAAUCAAAGACGCGGGCAGAGGAGGGUGCUAGGAGGUGGACAAAGGGGACAGCUGCUGCUCCCCCACUUUCCCCAGUUCCGGCUCUGCUGCCCUGUCUGGCUUGGCUGCCUCCUGCGCCUGGCCAUGCUGCCCUCCUGCCUGUCUUCAACCAGCGCCGUGCUGCAAUAAAACGGGCCCUUAGCCCACCGUCUGUGUCGGUCUCAGUUCUCGGUGGGGAGGGAUGAGAUGCGUUGUCCUCCCCGCUUCCCCUGCAGCCUGUAUUAGAGAGGAUCUCUAAGCCCCGUGGCAGUGGGGCUAAUGACUUCCUGGAGGGGAGCUGGGGAGGGCUGCUGGCCGUUGCGCGCCCCCACCCCCACCCCAGGCCAGCGGCGGAAAGAAGUGCUCGCUCAGAACAGAGGCGGGCAGCAGCGCGGCUCCUGGAAUAGCCCGGGGCCUCGUUUUCCCCUGGACCCGGGGGUCCGCUGCUCUCCAAAUUCUUGCUCUUCUCGCAAGUUCCCUUUGGCAUCCAGGACCAGCCUCCCUCAUUCCCACGAUUCAGGCGUCUAACUCCCCGCCCUCGGCUCUCUGGCGGCCAGCGCUCUCGCCUUCCCCAUUCCUGGGUGGGCACCGCGCGGAGGGUGAAGAGGUGGAGGGAGCCUGGGCGCCGCCCCGCGGGAGCUGAGCUCCGGAGCGGCGGAGACUGCGAUCUCGAAAAGUACCACGCGGGGGCGCCAGGACGCGUGCGGACGCGGGCGAGGCAGCGCAAGGUGGUUUUCGUCCGUGUGAGUGUGUCCAUGGGCGUCUUUGUGUGUCUGCAUUUCUGCACAUGUGUGUACGAGUUAGGGGGUGUCUGGGUGGUAUAUAUUCUGGAAUACAUGUCUGGGGUACCCCAGAAUCAGGUACUCCAAGUGGCUUCUUGAUGAGGAGGAUGCUUGAUACGUUACUAUGUACGUGUGGAUGGGGAGGCAAGCGACUGUGUGUAUCAUCGCGUGUGCA